RNAcentral lists this transfer RNA (82 nucleotides) under Deltaproteobacteria bacterium. RNAcentral describes it as "tRNA-Leu". It matches the Rfam family "tRNA". From Rfam's summary of the family: Transfer RNA (tRNA) molecules are approximately 80 nucleotides in length. Their secondary structure includes four short double-helical elements and three loops (D, anti-codon, and T loops). Lineage: Bacteria; Pseudomonadati; Myxococcota; Myxococcia. The record is from RNAcentral.
GCGGAAGUGGUGGAACUGGCAGACACGCCAGAUUUAGGUUCUGGUGCCGAAAGGCUUGGGGGUUCAAGUCCCCCCUUCCGCA